Molecule: ribosomal RNA, 433 nt
Filed under: uncultured bacterium
Lineage: Bacteria
Description: partial 16S ribosomal RNA
Rfam family: Bacterial small subunit ribosomal RNA
Source: RNAcentral
AACGAACGCUGGCGGCAUGCCUAACACAUGCAAGUCGAACGAGACCUUCGGGUCUAGUGGCGCACGGGUGCGUAACGCGUGGGAACCUGCCCUUAGGUUCGGAAUAACUCCCCGAAAGGGGUGCUAAUACCGGAUAAUGUCUUCGGACCAAAGAUUUAUCGCCUUUGGAUGGGCCCGCGUUGGAUUAGCUAGUUGGUAGGGUAAAAGCCUACCAAGGCGACGAUCCAUAGCUGGUCUGAGAGGAUGAUCAGCCACACUGGGACUGAGACACGGCCCAGACUCCGACGGGAGGCAGCAGUGGGGAAUAUUGGACAAUGGGCGAAAGCCUGAUCCAGCAAUGCGGCGUGAGUGAUGAAUGCCUUAGGGUUGUAAAGCUCUUUUACCCGGGAUGAUAAUGACAGUACCGGGAGAAUAAGCUCCGGCUAACUACGUG